GCACCCUGAGCAGUGGCUGCAGUGUUGACAUUUAUCUCAUAUCCCGCUGUCAGCAAAAGCCAGUGAGCCCUUCCCAGUAUCUCCUGAUCUACCUCUCAAAAGUCAAGUAAAACUAGGGCUCUGGAGUCUCCAGCUGCUUCUCUAAAUCCAAAGAUGCCUUGGCCAGUGCAGGCAAUUUGCUCAUCUCUGGGGUCCAGCCAGAGGACAAGACUAUCUGUUCUAUCUAUUACUGUCAGACCUGGGAUAUUGA
This 250-nucleotide long non-coding RNA is filed under the name Homo sapiens (human). RNAcentral describes it as "non-protein coding lnc-VPREB1-8:1". Lineage: Eukaryota; Metazoa; Chordata; Mammalia; Primates; Hominidae. The record is from RNAcentral.